GUCCAAGUUCACUUAUGCAUGGGCAUAGAAAGUACACUCACAGAUGUCUAUUCCUUGACUACAUCUUUCUGGAAAUGCAUGCAUGCCCGUGUGAGCAUUAACACACACAGAUAUGAAGACAUCAGUUUCUUGCAUCGUCUAUCAAAUCUAAAUAUGAUCACAUGCACUUAUAUCGUAUUUUUAACUCUCUUUGCAAAGAUCUCCAAGUUUGUCUCUAAUCUAUUAUAUUUUCAGAUCUUGACAGUUUUCAUGCUGUAGUUUAGAAUAUGGCAUGAAUAAAAAGAGAAUUUUUCUUGGACUAUGUUCAUUGGAAUAGCAAAUAUUUAGUAAUACUUUUAUCCCCCAUCCUACCCCUCCAAAAAAAGCAUGGAAGGUUAAGGGAAAAGGGGGGUGGGGGGAUAGUAAAUGGAAACAUACCUUAUUUCUGCACUAAAGUUUUUGAUGCAAAACAUCUCCCAAUAGUAGUGGAGGCACUGAAAGAAGGCGCUUCCUUUCAUGCAGUCAGCUCAUGUCAAAUUCACUUGAUUUUGUGUCCGUGGUGCUGAUGCUGGAUCCUGAUGAAUAAAAAUGUAUUAUCUUCACAUGAAGUAAUAUGGGAUUUAGGAAUUAUUUGUCUGAAGUGGCAUGGGGGACUUGGUCUAUAGAUUCAAGAUUUGGUUCAGCAAUGAUUGAUCACUAGUGGAGUCUUUAUCUUCUGAAGACAUCCGUUUGAGAAAUAUCAACAAACUAGAAUCAUUUUAACCUUGGUACAGUGUGUGAAUUCUUUUGUAGUUGUCAUCUAUUUGUAACUUAUGCUGCCUUUGCAUUUCUUACUUGCACGCAUGACUGAAAUCAAUUAAGAAAUCCUGUGGAUAUACCUAGCAUUGAAGCUUGUUAUAGCCAUAUGAAAACUCUUGUUCUUUUCAAAACAUGGUCAGGAACCACUUUCUUGGCUCGUGGGUUCAGAUGUCGUAGUGGUUGAUCCUCCCCGGAAGGGGCUGGAUCUGUCUCUGCUGGAUACACUACGGUCUCUGUCAUCUUUGGAGCUCAAAGCCAAUCUUCCUGAAAGGUGUGGAACUUAGAUGGAUUCCUCACUUCUAAUUCUAAAUGUGCAAUCUCUAUUGGGUGGCAGAAACUAAAAAGUGAUAUGUUUGUGUGCUUACCCUUCAUUGGUUAUUCCAGUACCGGUGGGAAGGUAAAAAAUGAAAAAAGACCAUGGAUUCUGAGAGAGAGAGAAACUUCAGUGCAGGUUAAGAGCAGCACAGUACAAGAAGAAAGUCGGUCCUUGCCUGAAACUCUAAUUUAUAUAAGUUGUGGAUGGGAUAGUUUUAAAGAGGUGUGUUUACCCUUACUUCUCAUAGUUUAAAGAGCUGCUAAAUAAUAAAGAAAAAGUUUAAUCUUUAUUCAGUUGUUUGAUUUUUAGCUAGGCAAAAGUGUCACUGUCUGCUUGAGCUUCUAUUGCUGCCAUUUAACUUACAGGAUUGCAUGUCACUGCUCUCUUGUAAGGCCUGGUAUUUGGACAAAGCACAUGGCUUCAAUUUUUUCCCUGGAACACAAAGGUAUUCAUACCUCUCUCUCUCUCUCUCUCUCUCUCUCUCUCUCUCUCUCUCUCUCUCUAGCAUGUUAGAUAAGGAGGAUCGUAUAGAUUUGGACAAUACUAAAUAGGAAAAAGAAGCUAAAAAUCUUGUUCAUUAUAGUGUCCAAGCAUGUCCUGUACCAAAAAUGCACUUCAUGUGACCAAUGAAGCCAAGGCCUAGUUCAAGUAGCAAGACUGGAGCCUUCCCAGGUCAAUGGACUAGAUUCUAGCCUCCUUUUGUGGGGUGAAAUCCUUUAUCCCCCUUCUAAACCGGGGAGCCAAUAGAAGGUUUGAAUCGUCCCAUCUCCCAUGCCUUCUAGAAUUUGUGGGGUGCAAUCCUUUAUCCCCCUUCUUAAAAAAAAAAAAAAUGAGGAACUAAUAGAAGGUUUGAAUUGUCCCAUCUCCCAUGCCUCCUGAAACUUAUCCCUUAAUUUUAGUAGUUUGCCUUGUUUGUUGUACUUUUGAGUCAACCCUACCCAGUUGAGAAGAAGAGGGUCAGCCAAACUGCAAUCCACUUUGUACAUAUGCUGAGACCAAUCAAUCAUUUUAAAAUAGGAAAAGGAGCGGUGACCACUGAGGAUGGUCUAAUUAUUCAGUUUAUUGUGGGAUUGGGGUGCCUUGCGGGGUUUGCCACGAAGAGAAAGAUCCAUUCUCUGGGUUAUCUUACCAUGAGGAUUUUCUUUUCUGGAAAUAUGCUAUAUUCACAUGUUUGUGUUGCAUCAGCUAAUGACUCUGUUCUUUUAUUCAUUGGACUAAUUGUUUGGUUCCUAAUUUACCAAUCAAAUGCACUAUUAUUAAUGUAGCAUUGAGGUCCUGGCCGUGUUUAAAAGAGGCACUAAACCAAACAUCAAGAGAAGAAAAUCUGGAAAAAAGAAAAGGCCCUCUUGAGGUGCACUAUUUCAUCCUGUCGAGUAUUACGAGGGAUAAAAUGCUUCUCAUGAAAAGCCUAAAGAGAUGGUAUGGAGUAAAUGCACAACGAAAAGGAAGAAUAUCUAUUCAGUCACAUUUGAAUAGAAAGAAGUUCCAGACUGCAGUCUACACUGCCCUUAUGGAAAAAUAUUUUUUAUUUAGGCUGCUGGAUCUAACGAAAUAUAUAUACGAUAAACUGCACAUGUUUCAGAUAUUAUUUUGUAAUGAUGAACAUUUUAUGCACCCAUGGUUCCUUUUAUCCUUGUGAAAUUGGGACUAAGAGUAACAUUUUGUUAAAUUUAUUAAAAGCUUUUGCCAGAAGAAAAUGAACUUAUAGCACCUUAGCAAUUGAAUAG
Molecule: long non-coding RNA, 2820 nt
Filed under: Olea europaea subsp. europaea
Lineage: Eukaryota; Viridiplantae; Streptophyta; Magnoliopsida; Lamiales; Oleaceae
Source: RNAcentral